This 425-nucleotide ribosomal RNA is filed under the name uncultured bacterium. RNAcentral describes it as "bacterial SSU rRNA". It matches the Rfam family "Bacterial small subunit ribosomal RNA", at positions 355 to 776 of the family's 1533-position model. The record is from RNAcentral.
UGAGGAAUAUUGGUCAAUGGGCGGAAGCCUGAACCAGCCAAGUAGCGUGCAGGAUGACGGCCCUACGGGUUGUAAACUGCUUUUAGGCGGGGGUAAAGUGCCGGACGUGUUCCGGUAUUGCAAGUACCGCCAGAAAAAGGACCGGCUAAUUCCGUGCCAGCAGCCGCGGUAAUACGGAAGGUCCGGGCGUUAUCCGGAUUUAUUGGGUUUAAAGGGAGCGUAGGCGGGCUGUUAAGUCAGCUGUGAAAUCCGGCGGCUCAACCGUCGGCCUGCAGUUGAUACUGGUGGCCUUGAGUGCGCGCAGGGGUGUUGGAAUUCAUGGUGUAGCGGUGAAAUGCUCAGAUAUCAUGAAGAACUCCGAUCGCGAAGGCAGAUGCCCGGAGCGCAACUGACGCUGAGGCUCGAAAGUGCGGGUAUCAAACAGG